Molecule: transfer RNA, 75 nt
Filed under: Desulfovibrio sp.
Lineage: Bacteria; Pseudomonadati; Thermodesulfobacteriota; Desulfovibrionia; Desulfovibrionales; Desulfovibrionaceae
Also listed under: 1 other name
Description: tRNA-Lys
Rfam family: tRNA
About the family: Transfer RNA (tRNA) molecules are approximately 80 nucleotides in length.
Source: RNAcentral
GGGCCGUUAACUCAGUGGUAGAGUAUCUGACUUUUAAUCAGAGAGUCGAUGGUUCGAACCCAUCACGGCCCACCA